This 388-nucleotide ribosomal RNA is filed under the name uncultured bacterium. RNAcentral describes it as "bacterial SSU rRNA". It matches the Rfam family "Bacterial small subunit ribosomal RNA", at positions 30 to 401 of the family's 1533-position model. The record is from RNAcentral.
AGUGAACGCUGGCGGCAGGCCUAACACAUGCAAGUCGAGCGGCAGCGGGUUCCCGCGAGGGGAUGCCGGCGAGCGGCGGACGGGUGAGGAACACAUCGGAAUCUGCCUGGUUGUGGGGGAUAACGUAGGGAAACUUACGCUAAUACCGCAUGCGACCCUGAGUCGACGGACUGGGGGUGAAAGUGAGGGACCUUCGGGCCUCACGCGACCAGAUGAGCCGAUGUCGGAUAGCUAGUUGGCGGGGUAACGGCCCGCCAAGGCGACGAUCCGUAGCUGGUCUGAGAGGAUGAUCAGCCACACUGGGACUGAGACACGGCCCAGACUCCUACGGGAGGCAGCAGUGGGGAAUCUUGGACAAUGGGCGCAAGCCUGAUCCAGCCAUGCCGCG